RNAcentral lists this small RNA (24 nucleotides) under Brassica napus (rape). Its description in RNAcentral is "PsRNA_51". The record is from RNAcentral. Lineage: Eukaryota; Viridiplantae; Streptophyta; Magnoliopsida; Brassicales; Brassicaceae.
ACAAUUUUUAGGAGGAUAUCCGAC